UUCCUGUUUAAUGGCUCUUCUUUUAUUGCCCUUGAAUCUCUCUUUCUCUGCCUCAAUCCUGCCACUAAUUACUUGUUUUUUUUAACCUCAUGUAAUUCAACAAGAUCAAGUGCAAGGUCCUGCACCCAAAUUGGGACAAUUCUUACCAUCUGUACAGAAUGAGGGAUGGAAGGAUUGAGUGCAGACCUGCAGAGACAGACUUGGAGAUAAUGGGAGGAGGGGAAGCUGAGAGGACGCUGAGACAGGACGCCUGACCCAAACUAACCAAAGAGUCUGCUCUGGUGAGUCUCCACGUAGGAUACUGCAUCCAGCCCCAGGGUCUCCAGUGCAAGAAAGACCUGCUUAUAAAGAAAAUGAAGAUGAAAUGUGGCUUUUAAAAGUCUUCUUUAAUAUAAAAAAUAAUAAAG
Molecule: long non-coding RNA, 407 nt
Organism: Melopsittacus undulatus (budgerigar)
Lineage: Eukaryota; Metazoa; Chordata; Aves; Psittaciformes; Psittaculidae
Exons: 3
Source: RefSeq, a predicted model, not a curated record